AAAAGAAAAAAAACCGUCUUUUUCAUUCUAGCGCUGGCCAAACCCUCGGUGCCUCGAACCCUCCGUAACUUCCUCUCAAAUCCUCUCUGCAACGACGUGCUUCUCAGGUUACUCCAACUCCUGGUUCUAUGGGUCAAGGGCGUGCUCGUGGCUCAAGUUUAGGACCCACUCCCACUCAAGUGUUCAAGUCUUCACCACGUCGAUUUACUGGGAUUGAGAUUCAUAAUGAGGCUAAUAUGGAAGAUUAUCAAAAUGUAGAUGCUAGACUUUCGAUAUUAGAAUCGAAAAUGGCCAAUAUGCUUUCGAUUUUGGUACAAAAUGGUUUCAUGCAAGCCAGCGGUGCAAAUGGGGUGUAUACAAAUGGUGCUUCGCCAUAUUGUCAAUACAAGAAUCCUGGACGUGUUAGUAGCAUGAGAUUACGUCCCACCUCCACUCAAGUGUUCCAUCGCGAUAUUCGUUACRAGACUAAUAUGGAUCAAAAUGUAGAUGCCAGACUUUCAGUAUUAGAGUCGCAAAUGGCCAAGGUAGUUUCAGUUUUACGACGAAAUGGUUUCAUGCAAGCCAACAUCUGAGCAUGGUCACACACAAAUGGUGUUUCAAGACAGGAUCAUGGAGGCAACUCUUGGAGUGGAAUGAUGUGUCGAGUUUGUGAAGUCGACCCUAUCCGACCCGCGUCCUUCGUGAUAUUUUAACAACAGUUUGUAGUGGUAAAACAUUUUUAUCUAGUAUCUCCAAGGUUAAAUAUUUUGAUAUUUUCUUUAGUGAAUAUUUUUGGGAUGAUAUCAAGUAUGUCUCACUAGAGUAUUCUUCUAAUUUUACCCUUUUUCUUUGUGUUAACAUCUUGUGGAUGGGAGUAUUAUUGUGCACAUAUAUGUAAAGAUAUGCACUAAGAAAAUGGUUUUUAAGUUUUUUUGGGGCUGUUA
Molecule: non-coding RNA, 923 nt
Organism: Momordica charantia (bitter melon)
Lineage: Eukaryota; Viridiplantae; Streptophyta; Magnoliopsida; Cucurbitales; Cucurbitaceae
Source: RefSeq, a predicted model, not a curated record